CCUACGGGAGGCAGCAGUGAGGAAUAUUGGUCAAUGGACGAGAGUCUGAACCAGCCAAGUAGCGUGAAGGAUGACUGCCCUAUGGGUUGUAAACUUCUUUUAUAAAGGAAUAAAACGAGGCACGUGUGCCUUUUUGCAUGUACUUUAUGAAUAAGGAUCGGCUAACUCCGUGCCAGCAGCCGCGGUAAUACGGAGGAUCCGAGCGUUAUCCGGAUUUAUUGGGUUUAAAGGGAGCGUAGAUGGGUUGUUAAGUCAGUUGUGAAAGUUUGCGGCUCAACCGUAAAAUUGCAAUUGAUACUGGCAGUCUUGAGUACAGUUGAGGUAGGCGGAAUUCGUGGUGUAGCGGUGAAAUGCUUAGAUAUCACGAAGAACCCCGAGUGCGAAGGCAGCUUACUAAACUGUGACUGACAUUGAUGCUCGAAAGUGUGGGGAUCAAACAGGAUUAGAUACCCUUGUAGUC
Molecule: ribosomal RNA, 460 nt
Filed under: uncultured bacterium
Lineage: Bacteria
Description: partial 16S ribosomal RNA
Rfam family: Bacterial small subunit ribosomal RNA
Source: RNAcentral